This 480-nucleotide ribosomal RNA is filed under the name uncultured bacterium. Its description in RNAcentral is "partial 16S ribosomal RNA". It matches the Rfam family "Bacterial small subunit ribosomal RNA", at positions 28 to 506 of the family's 1533-position model. The record is from RNAcentral.
GAUGAACGCUGGCGGCGUGCUUAACACAUGCAAGUCGAACGACGCACUUUAUUUGAUUUCCUUCGGGACUGAUUAUUUUGUGACUGAGUGGCGGACGGGUGAGUAACGCGUGGGUAACCUGCCUUGUACAGGGGGAUAACAGUUGGAAACGGCUGCUAAUACCGCAUAAGCGCACAGCAUCGCAUGAUGCAGUGUGAAAAACUCCGGUGGUAUAAGAUGGACCCGCGUUGGAUUAGCUAGUUGGUGAGGUAACGGCCCACCAAGGCGACGAUCCAUAGCCGACCUGAGGGGGUGACCGGCCACAUUGGGACUGAGACACGGGCCAAACUCCGACGGGAGGCAGCAGUGGGGAAUAUGGAACAAUGGGCGAAAGCCUGAGGCCGCGACGCCGCGUGAGCGAAGAAGUAUUUAGGUAUGUAAAGCCCUAACAGCAGGGAAGAUAAUGACGGGACCUGACUAAGAAGCACCGGCUAAAUACGU